GAGAGGGAAACAACCCAGACCGUGGUUAAGGCCCUAAAAUGUCGGCUAAGUGUAAUUAAAAGGGUGUCCCAGGCCCUAGACAGCUGGGAGGUGAGCUCAGAAGCAGCUAACCUUUAAAAAGUGCGUAACAGCNNCCGAAAAUGGACGGGGCUCAAGCCGACUGCCGAUACCACGGAGCACGGAGACGUGAUCUGGUAGGAAGGCGUCCUGCGUGGGCAGAAGCAGGGCUGUAAAGUCCUGUGGACCGCGCAGGAACGAAGAUCCUGGCAAUAGUAGCAGCAUAGUCGGGUGAGAAUCCCGACCGCCGAAAGGGCUAGGUUUCCUCGACAAUGUUCGUCAGUCGAGGGUUAGUCGGUCCUAAGACGUACCGUAAUUCGAGUACGCCAAAAGGGAAACAGGUUAAUAUUCCUGUACCACGCGACAUUAAAACCUGACGCCUCCGGGUAGUUCGAACAGUGAUGCCAAACUGUCCAAGCGUAUUAAGUUCGCGGAGAACCGUAAUGGUGAGAAACGGACCAAAGCGUGAUGGGGAAACUCGGAUAAUCCCAGGGGCCCGUGAAAAAGGGAGUCGAUGGCCGUACCAAGAUCUGACACAGGUGCCCCUAGUUGAAAAGACUAAGGCGUGUCGGCAUAACCCACCCAAGGGAAAUCGGCAAAUUAGCCCCGUAACUUCGGGAGAAGGGGUGCCUGCUCUGAGAAGAGCAGGUCGCAGUGACUAGGGGGCUCUAACUGUCUAAUAACAACACAGGUGAUUGCUAACCCGAAAGGGCAAGUACAAUCACUGAAUCCUGCCCAGUGCAGGUACCUGAACAUCCGGUUCAACGGGAAGAAGGGCCUGUCAACGGCGGGGGUAACUAUGACCCUCUUAAGGUAGCGUAGUACCUUGCCGCUUAAUUGGCGGCUUGCAUGAAUGGACCAAUGAGAGCCCUACUGUCCCUGGGUGGAACCCGGUGAACUUUACAUUCCAGUGCAGAGUCUGGAGACCCCUGAUGGGAAGUGAAGACCCCGUGGAGCUUUACUGCAGCCUGUCGUUGGGAUGCGGUUGUGCAUGCGCAGCGUAGGUAGGAGGCGUCGAUCCACCACUUCUGGGUGGUGGGGAGCCUAUCCUGAGACACUACCCUUGUACGGUUGCGUCCCUUACCGUGAGAACGGGACCCCGAUAGGUGGGCAGUUUGGCUGGGGCGGCACGCCCUUGAAAAGAUAUCAAGGGUGCCCAAAGGUUGACUCAGGUGGGUCAGAAACCCACCGAAGAGCGUAAGGGCAAAAGUCAGCCUGAUGUGAUUCAGCAAAGUAGUGGAUCACAAGACGAAAGUCGGGCCUAACGAACCUUUAUGCCCUAUUGGUGAGGGCUAAAGAUGACAGAAAAGCUACCCCGGGGAUAACAGAGUUGUCACCAGUAAGAGCACAUAUCGACCUGGUGGCUUGCUACCUCGAUGUCGGUUCUUUCCAUCCUGGCCGUGCAGAAGCGGCCAAGGGUGAGGUUGUUCGCCUAUUAAAGGAGAUCGUGAGCUGGGUUUAGACCGUCGUGAGACAGGUCGGUUACUAUCUGUCAGGGGUGUGUUGAGGUCUGAGGGGAAGUUGGCUAUAGUACGAGAGGAACUAGCCAACGUGGCCUCUGGUCUAUCGGUUGUCUGGCAAGGCAGUGCCGAGCAGCUACGCCAUAAUGGAUAAGAGCUGAAUGCAUCUAAGCUCGAAACCAACCCCGAAAAGAGACCUCUUAAGGACAUCGGUAAAAGACCGGUUUGAUAGAGUCGGGAUGUACGCACCAAGGCAACGAGGUGUUCAGUCCGCGGCCACUAACGUCCGAGCCACACC
RNAcentral lists this ribosomal RNA (1815 nucleotides) under Methanobacteriota archaeon. RNAcentral's name for it is "bacterial LSU rRNA". It matches the Rfam family "Archaeal large subunit ribosomal RNA", at positions 1095 to 2987 of the family's 2987-position model. Lineage: Archaea; Methanobacteriati; Methanobacteriota. The record is from RNAcentral.